CCGAGACCUCUGCCUUACAAGGCCGACUCUGCUCAGGCCCCGCGGACCGCCGGGUAUCCGCUCAGCGCAGGGCGCGGCCGACCCGCGGGUCGUGGGAACCGCUGGGCAGGGGGCGGCGGGGCCCCUCACCUGGCUCUGGGGCCCCCCGGGGACGACCGGACCCCGAUCUCUCCGCCCCGCAGGACGCGCGUUGACGGUCGCCCGUAUGCAGCGCCACCAUCCCGGCCGCUCUUCCAAUCUCGCCUUUCUCCGGGCACCUGCCGCCCCUCCCCCGCUCCCCAGACAGGCUUUGCGGAGGGGGCUCAUUCCGCCCGGGGCUGCCCGGCCCUCCGCAGGAGUUGGCUCCCCACAAGGUUCCGGGGCCGAGAUGACAGGGCGGUUCUGUGGUGCUGGGUGCUGGGACUUGAGGGGCAUAGGGGCACCUGCCCUGGAGGAGGCCGAGGCGCAGCCCCCCAGGAGGAAGGGGUGCCUCUGGUGACUUUCAGCUGGACUCUUCCAGCUGGACUCUAGUGCAGCUGAGCUCCUCCCCCAGCCCCGGCUCUGUCCCUGCACCAGGUGUCCAGCAGGCCCUGGAAUCCGCAAAGGCAGAAGGGGAAGUUGGGGUGCUGGGUGCUGGGCAGGGGGUGCUGAGGCCUCACAGCCCGGCGGCUUGGCCCCCACCCACCCCACGGUGGUCCCGCGCCCCACACUUCCUCUCCUCUCCUGUGGUUUCUCCUUCCACUCAGUGCUGCCCAGAGAUGGGCUUCUGUCUAGUUCUCCUGAGAAAUUCCACACUCGCAGCUGGGAAGUCGGGGGACCCCCGAAGCUGUGCGGCGGCCACGCUGCGGCUCCUGCUUCCCUCCUGCUCGGGUGCGGGCUCGGCUGCCUUCUCGUCCCGCGGAGCCCGGAGUGCCUCCCCCUCGGGUAGAUCCUACUAACAGCAUCAAAGAAAUAAUGAAAUAAUCUCUCCUUGGUGUGUUCUUACCGUCCUAAUAGGCACAAGGGGACUCUUCAGUGCAUUUUCCAAAACCUGUACAAACUCUCUUGACAUAAAUGCAGUGAGUUUACAAUAAAAUCGCAGUGGGAGGUAACGUCAGGCUUCAGAGGCAGACAUGGUCCUGGAGCCUUUGGGAGGAGAGGAGAGGAGAGGCAGCGGGCGCGGGGCGGCGUCCAGGGGGCUGAGCGAGGUCUGGGCAGGAGGACAGAGCUGAGCCUUGGGCUGCCCUGGCCCCUGCGCAGGACACACAGUGACCGGGGCUGGGGUGGGCACCCCGGUUCUACCGUCGGGAGUCGGCGUGUUCAUGGAGUCUGUUUCCUUGUCUGUGGGUGAAACUUUGGCUUGGGGUCACGGGUGUGUUAUUUCCCAGCGACAGUCGGUUCAGUCAGCACUUACAAAAUCACCAGAAACAGGGGCACAGGAUCUUGCUCAGCAGGGAGAGGUGGAUCCUGAUUCGGGACUCCAGGCUCUUCACCUGGCCAUGGCUGCCCGUCCGGUGGCCCUUCCUGGCCCCCAGCUCUUGCUCCACUGCCAGACCUGGACAGCCUCCAUUAACCCUGCAAUUACUGAAAACCGACUCACAGCCAAUGAUGUGAUCCACGCCAAGUGUCCCGUUAUAAGAUGUUUCCUGGGGAUCCUUAGAAAAUCACUACAAAUGGGUUGAACAACAGGGCUUUCCUCUUACGGCUUAGGAGGCCAGAAGUCCGAGAUCAAGGCCUGUGCGCUCCGGAGGUUCCCACCUCUUCCAGCUUCUGUGGCUCCAGGCGGUCCUGGGUGGUGGCCGCAUGGCUCCACCUCUGCCCCUGUCCUCACGGGGCCUCCUCCCCCGAGUUAGUGUGUCUGUCUCUUCCUUUGCUUAUCGGGACACCUGUCACUGGAUUUAAGGGCCGCCAGGAGAAGCUGGGAUAAUCUCAAGAUCUUUAAUCGAAUUACAUCUACAAAGAUCCUA
RNAcentral lists this long non-coding RNA (1925 nucleotides) under Homo sapiens (human). Its description in RNAcentral is "HSALNT0324659". Lineage: Eukaryota; Metazoa; Chordata; Mammalia; Primates; Hominidae. The record is from RNAcentral.